RNAcentral lists this ribosomal RNA (248 nucleotides) under uncultured Planctomycetales bacterium. Its description in RNAcentral is "partial 16S ribosomal RNA". It matches the Rfam family "Bacterial small subunit ribosomal RNA", at positions 434 to 674 of the family's 1533-position model. Lineage: Bacteria; Pseudomonadati; Planctomycetota; Planctomycetia; Planctomycetales. The record is from RNAcentral.
GUCGGGAGUUAGGAAAUGUAGACUCGCUAAUAUCGGGUCUAUUUGACAAAGGCUCCAAAGGAAGCCACGGCUAACUCUGUGCCAGCAGCCGCGGUAAUACAGAGGUGGCAAACGUUGUUCGGAAUUAUUGGGCGUAAAGAGCACGUAGGUGGAUUUGUAAGUCAGACGUGAAAGCCUUCUGUUCAACGGAAGAAUUGCAUCUGAAACUACAAACCUUGAGUGUAGGAGGGGAGAGUGGAACUUCUGGU